RNAcentral lists this ribosomal RNA (445 nucleotides) under uncultured Microbacterium sp. RNAcentral's name for it is "bacterial SSU rRNA". It matches the Rfam family "Bacterial small subunit ribosomal RNA", at positions 338 to 795 of the family's 1533-position model. Lineage: Bacteria; Bacillati; Actinomycetota; Actinomycetes; Micrococcales; Microbacteriaceae. The record is from RNAcentral.
CCUACGGGGGGCUGCAGUGGGGAAUAUUGCACAAUGGGCGGAAGCCUGAUGCAGCAACACCGCGUGAGGGACGACGGCCUUCGGGUUGUAAACCUCUUUUAGCAAGGAAGAAGCGAAAGUGACGGUACUUGCAGAAAAAGCGCCGGCUAACUACGUGCCAGCAGCCGCGGUAAUACGUAGGGCGCAAGCGUUAUCCGGAAUUAUUGGGCGUAAAGAGCUCGUAGGCGGUUUGUCGCGUCUGCUGUGAAAACCCGAGGCUCAACCUCGGGCCUGCAGUGGGUACGGGCAGACUAGAGUGCGGUAGGGGAGAUUGGAAUUCCUGGUGUAGCGGUGGAAUGCGCAGAUAUCAGGAGGAACACCGAUGGCGAAGGCAGAUCUCUGGGCCGUAACUGACGCUGAGGAGCGAAAGGGUGGGGAGCAAACAGGAUUAGAUACCCUUGUAGUC